Molecule: ribosomal RNA, 745 nt
Filed under: uncultured bacterium
Lineage: Bacteria
Description: bacterial SSU rRNA
Rfam family: Bacterial small subunit ribosomal RNA
Source: RNAcentral
ACGCUGGCGGCAGGCCUAACACAUGCAAGUCGAGCGGUAGAGAGAAGCUUGCUUCUCUUGAGAGCGGCGGACGGGUGAGUAAUGCCUAGGAAUCUGCCUGGUAGUGGGGGAUAACGUUCGGAAACGGACGCUAAUACCGCAUACGUCCUACGGGAGAAAGCAGGGGACCUUCGGGCCUUGCGCUAUCAGAUGAGCCUAGGUCGGAUUAGCUAGUUGGUGAGGUAAUGGCUCACCAAGGCGACGAUCCGUAACUGGUCUGAGAGGAUGAUCAGUCACACUGGAACUGAGACACGGUCCAGACACCUACGGGAGGCAGCAGUGGGGAAUAUUGGACAAUGGGCGAAAGCCUGAUCCAGCCAUGCCGCGUGUGUGAAGAAGGUCUUCGGAUUGUAAAGCACUUUAAGUUGGGAGGAAGGGCAUUAACCUAAUACGUUAGUGUUUUGACGUUACCGACAGAAUAAGCACCGGCUAACUCUGUGCCAGCAGCCGCGGUAAUACAGAGGGUGCAAGCGUUAAUCGGAAUUACUGGGCGUAAAGCGCGCGUAGGUGGUUUGUUAAGUUGGAUGUGAAAUCCCCGGGCUCAACCUGGGAACUGCAUUCAAAACUGACUGACUAGAGUAUGGUAGAGGGUGGUGGAAUUUCCUGUGUAGCGGUGAAAUGCGUAGAUAUAGGAAGGAACACCAGUGGCGAAGGCGACCACCUGGACUAAUACUGACACUGAGGUGCGAAAGCGUGGGGAGCAAAC